UUUGUUUCAUAAAAAGAAUCUGUCAUUUCUUAAAUUAGAUGGGUGCAGCAGGCUAUGAUGGUGUCAGUAUUAUCUCUACAGAGUUGAAUUCAAGUAGCUCUUCUGGAAGUGAUACAGAUGCCAAAGCUCCUCAACAAAACAUCGGAUCAAAGAAAAAAAAUUCUACCUGUGGAUGGCUUCAAUAAGAAAAAGG
Sorghum bicolor (sorghum) is the source of this 193-nucleotide long non-coding RNA. RefSeq lists it as uncharacterized. The transcript has 3 exons. Lineage: Eukaryota; Viridiplantae; Streptophyta; Magnoliopsida; Poales; Poaceae. The record is from RefSeq and is a predicted model, not a curated record.